Molecule: non-coding RNA, 23 nt
Filed under: Cricetulus griseus (Chinese hamster)
Lineage: Eukaryota; Metazoa; Chordata; Mammalia; Rodentia; Cricetidae
Source: RNAcentral
ACUUCCCUGUCAGAAUAUGUGUC